CGAAAGCCUGACGGAGCAAGACCGCGUGGGGGAGGAAUGCCUUAGGGUUGUAAACCCCUUUUAUCUGGGAAGAACAAAAUGACGGUACCAGAUGAAUAAGCCUCGGCUAACUCCGUGCCAGCAGCCGCGGUAAUACGGAGGAGGCAAGCGUUAUCCGGAAUUAUUGGGCGUAAAGCGUCCGCAGGUGGCGAUUCAAGUCUGCUGUCAAAGCACGGGGCUUAACUCCGUAAAGGCAGUGGAAACUGAAUAGCUAGAGUGCCGUAGGGGUAGAGGGAAUUCCCGGUGUAGCGGUGAAAUGCGUAGAUUUCGGGAAGAACACCAGUGGCGAAAGCGCUCUACUGGACCGCAACUGACACUCAGGGACGAAAGCUAGGGGAGCG
Molecule: ribosomal RNA, 380 nt
Filed under: uncultured cyanobacterium
Lineage: Bacteria; Bacillati; Cyanobacteriota
Description: bacterial SSU rRNA
Rfam family: Bacterial small subunit ribosomal RNA
Source: RNAcentral